This is a non-coding RNA of Microcebus murinus (gray mouse lemur), 67 nucleotides long. The record is from Ensembl. Lineage: Eukaryota; Metazoa; Chordata; Mammalia; Primates; Cheirogaleidae.
CAGGGAAUAGUUUAAUUAGAAUUUCAGCUUUGGGUGUUGAAGGUGAGACUUAGAGUUUCUUCCUUGA